AGAGUUUGAUCAUGGCUCAGGACAAACGCUGGCGGCAUGCCUAACACAUGCAAGUCGAACGGACGGAGGCAAGGAACUCUUCGGAGGGAAUUGCCCGAGUUAGUGGCGGAUGGGUGAGUAACGCGUGGGGAACCUACCUCGUAGAGGGGAAUAAUAGUUGGAAACGACUACUAAUACCGCAUAAUGUACACUUUUCGCAUGAAGAGUGUAAGGAAGAUGGCCUCUGAACAUGCUAUCGCUAUGAGAUGGACCCGCGUCUGAUUAGCUAGUUGGUAAGGUAACGGCUUACCAAGGCAAUGAUCAGUAGCCGGCCUGAGAGGGUGAACGGCCACAUUGGGACUGAGACACGGCCCAAACUCCUACGGGAGGCAGCAGUGGGGAAUCUUCCGCAAUGGGCGAAAGCCUGACGGAGCAAUGCCGCGUGAGUGAAGAAGGCCUUCGGGUUGUAAAGCUCUAUCCUUGUCCAAGAGAGCAGAGUAUAGUAACUGAUAGUCUGAGGACGGUAGACAAGAAGGAAGCCCCGGCUAACUAUGUGCCAGCAGCCGCGGUAAAACAUAGGGGGCAAGCGUUGUCCGGAAUCACUGGGCGUAAAGGGCGCGUAGGCGGUCUGUUAAGUCGGAUGUGAAAUGUAAGGGCUCAACCCUUAACGUGCAUCUGAUACUGGCAGACUUGAGUGCGGAAGAGGCAAGUGGAAUUCCUAGUGUAGCGGUGAAAUGCGUAGAUAUUAGGAGGAACACCAGUGGCGAAGGCGACUUGUUGGGCCGUAACUGACGCUGAGGCGCGAAAGCGUGGGGAGCAAACAGGAUUAGAUACCCUGGUAGUCCACGCCGUAAACGAUGAGUACUAGGUGUUGGGGGUUUCGAUACCUUCGGUGCCGCAGUU
This 882-nucleotide ribosomal RNA is filed under the name uncultured bacterium. RNAcentral describes it as "bacterial SSU rRNA". It matches the Rfam family "Bacterial small subunit ribosomal RNA", at positions 8 to 853 of the family's 1533-position model. The record is from RNAcentral.